CAGUCGCCGCGGUAAUACGAGGGGGGCAAGCGUUGUUCGGAAUUAUUGGGCGUAAAGGGUGCGUAGGCGGUUUGGCAAGUUUGGUGUGAAAUCUUCGGGCUCAACUCGAAGUCUGCAUCGAAAACUGCCGGGCUUGAGUAUGGGAGAGGUGAGUGGAAUUUCCGGUGUAGCGGUGAAAUGCGUAGAUAUCGGAAGGAACACCUGUGGCGAAAGCGGCUCACUGGACCAUAACUGACGCUGAUGCACGAAAGCUAGGGGAGCAAACAGGAUUAGAUACCCCAGUAGUCCCUGUCUCUUAUAC
Molecule: ribosomal RNA, 301 nt
Filed under: uncultured bacterium
Lineage: Bacteria
Description: partial 16S ribosomal RNA
Rfam family: Bacterial small subunit ribosomal RNA
Source: RNAcentral